This 619-nucleotide ribosomal RNA is filed under the name uncultured candidate division SR1 bacterium. RNAcentral's name for it is "bacterial SSU rRNA". It matches the Rfam family "Bacterial small subunit ribosomal RNA", at positions 471 to 1083 of the family's 1533-position model. The record is from RNAcentral. Lineage: Bacteria; Candidatus Absconditibacteriota.
GACGGUACACCAAGAAUAAGAGACGGCUAACUACGUGCCAGCAGCCGCGGUAAUACGUAGGUCUCAAGCGUUAUCCGGAUUUACUGGGCGUAAAGUAUCCGUAGCCUGAUAUGUAAGUCUGUUUUCAAAUCCCACGACUCAAUCGUGGAAAGGGAAUGGAUACUGCAUAUCUAGAAGUUAUUGGGGGUUAGUGGAAUUUCCGGUGGAGCGGUGAAAUGCGUUGAUAUCGGAAAGAACGCCGAAAGCGAAAGCAGCUAACUAUGAUUAACUUGACGGUGAGGGAUGAAAGUUUGGGUAGCAAACGGGAUUAGAUACCCCGGUAGUCCAAACUGUAAAUUAUGCUUGCUAGGUGUUUCGAUCCUUGUGGUCGGAGUGCCGUAAUCUAACGAGUUAAGCAAGUCGCCUGGGUAGUAUAUUCGCAAGAAUGAAACUCAAAGGGAUAGGCGGGGGAACACACAAGCAGUGGAUUAUCUAGAUUAAUUGGAUAAUAAGCCAAGAAUCUUACCUAGAAUUGACAUGCAUUGUGUCUCAUAUGAAAGUAUGAUAUUUGUAGCAAUACAGAGCUUUGCACAGGUGGUGCAUGGUCGUCGUCAGCUCGUGCCGCAAGGUGUCCAGUUAA